CCCUUAGAUGUUCUGGGCGGCCCGCGCACUACAUUGGCACUAGCAAAGAGAUCCUAGAUUGAAUUCUUUGGGGUAUUCUUCUAAAUGGUGUCGUGACUGGGAUAAAUCCUUGUAAUUAUUGGUUUUGAACGAGGAAUUCCUUGUAAUCGCGGUUUAUCAGCUCGCGUUGAAUGCGUCCCUGCCCUUUGUACACACCGCCCGUCGCUCCUACCGAUGGAUCGUCCGGUGAAGCUCACGGAGUGACUGUUCACGCAACGGUUUACGAAGUGAAAUGGACCUCACGAUUUAGAGGAAGGAGAGGUCGUAACA
Molecule: ribosomal RNA, 309 nt
Filed under: uncultured eukaryote
Lineage: Eukaryota
Description: partial 18S ribosomal RNA
Rfam family: Eukaryotic small subunit ribosomal RNA
Source: RNAcentral